GCGAGAGUGGCGGAAUUGGUAGACGCGCGGGAUUUAGGAUCCCGUGGCUUAUUGCCGUGGGGGUUCGAGUCCCCCCUUUCGCA
This 83-nucleotide transfer RNA is filed under the name Gemmatimonadota bacterium. RNAcentral's name for it is "Gemmatimonadetes bacterium (freshwater metagenome) tRNA-Leu". It matches the Rfam family "tRNA". From Rfam's summary of the family: Transfer RNA (tRNA) molecules are approximately 80 nucleotides in length. Their secondary structure includes four short double-helical elements and three loops (D, anti-codon, and T loops). Lineage: Bacteria; Pseudomonadati; Gemmatimonadota. The record is from RNAcentral.